CCUCCUCCCCUCCCUCCCUAGUCCUCAGCAUGCAGCUCUCUGGCUGAAUCCCAUCACCGCUCCAAUUUCCCCUUCACCCGGGCAGCCCCGCACUGAACAGAAACUCCGCAGAAUGGCCCCAUUGUAGACCAGACAAACCAAAAUAGCAGCAUCUUCUGUUCUCCGCCUUAGAGAGAUUCACUUAAAAUCCCGAAGUCCCAGAUGUGGACGACAAUGGAAGCUGUUGUUGCAAAUUAGUGAUCCUGGAACAGCUGAGAGGCAGAGCACUUUCUAUCUCUUUUUCAGAAAAAUCCCAAGGAACAAUUGUUUUGGAUUACUUAGUGGACUCAGCAUGGAAACUGCUUGUGUGGCCCAGCUAGGUAGGGGCGUUCAGACAAGGAGACCUGACCUGGAGCCUCUGGGAUGAUUCCAAGGAAGAAGAAUCCUGGCCUAAUGAACUCCUCAAGCUCUCUUCUUUGGGAAAUAGGAAGAUCACAAUUUGAAAUCUUAAUACGAGGCUUUUAGGCUCCUUAUCAACACAAGAAUGGACAUCAAGUUACUUACAUAUUGGGCCAAAAUAUUGAGUGCAGAUGAAAAUAAAUGCUGACUUUGAAGAUUUCCCAUCCAGCCCGCAGAAAUUCCCCUGGCCUGCCACACUUGGGUAACUUGAGUUCUGGAAUUCCAGACGUGGUUAACCCCAAUCCACAAAUUUGCUGGAGUUAUGAAGCUGAGUGAGAGUACUGCUUUUCUAUUAUGCAUUCCCAAUAUGUUCUGUUCUGAGCUGACACCACAGAAUUUACUUCUCCCACAAGUUUAACCCACUGCAUGGAGUGAUCAUGGCUCACUGUUUUUUGGUAAAUACCAAAAUACAGAUAACAGUUUUUCACAGUACAAAUUUUAUAUCUGACUUGGCUGGAAACUUCCCCAGUCACUCCGUCUAGUUGCCUCAUUUUGUUGGGCCUUGGUUUCUUUCAGUUUCCUACUAAAACUUACCUCUUUGGGGAGGCAUGAGUAUCAAUGCUUGGCUACCAAUCCAGGUAAGGCCUCUGAAUGAAAGGUGAUAUGGAAGGGCACAAACGAUCUGGAUACCUAUCCCCUGGGAAAGUCCAGGCCUCAGGCCACAGCAAUGCCACAGCUUCUGGAAGCUGCCUGGGAACUGAGGUUUUAUUCUCCUGUGUGUGUCUACAUGCCUGGAGUGUUGACUCUGGAGACCUAUGAAUACAGUAAAUGACAUCAUAGGUAGCUCAGGUCAAUGAAGAUUUAUUUUUAGCUAUGACCCUUGUCUGUUAAAUGAUCUGAAUUUAAAAAGAAAGAGGACACGGAAGAAGGAAAAGAAAUGUGAAAGGCAAUGAAAGAAUGUAAGAUUCCUGCUUGAUCUUAAAAAGCACUAGAGCAAAAGUCAAGCACAGCUUUCUUAUUUCUUUUCAACCAGAAGGGUGUUACAGGAGAAAUGUAUGAAGGGCGGAGGAUAUGCCCUCUUGUGAGAAUUCUGUCUCUUCCCUGCAGUUACUCAUUUUGAGAAUGUGGCUCCCAGUGUCUACAGUGGAGGUGGGCUC
This 1535-nucleotide long non-coding RNA is filed under the name Homo sapiens (human). RNAcentral describes it as "HSALNT0022972". The record is from RNAcentral. Lineage: Eukaryota; Metazoa; Chordata; Mammalia; Primates; Hominidae.